Mustela erminea (ermine) is the source of this 2757-nucleotide RNA transcript. It is a transcript of the gene named collagen alpha-1(XXVII) chain B-like, with no coding region annotated. The transcript is spliced from 6 exons. The record is from RefSeq and is a predicted model, not a curated record. Lineage: Eukaryota; Metazoa; Chordata; Mammalia; Carnivora; Mustelidae.
CUGGCGUUGUCAGGUUCCGGAAAGUCUGAGUAGCCGCCCUCCCUAUAUAUACCCCCCACCCCCCCCGCUGCGGGGGGGUGGGGCCCGCCGAGGUGCGCAUGCGGCUUGGGCCUGGGCCCCAAGCCUGCGUGUGCACUUGCGAGGGUACUCCGGGAGGGAGCACUUGGCCUAGGGCAUCCGAGCCGUCGCGGCCUAGCUAGAGAGGCUGAGUCUUCCAGUCGACGCUGGGCUCACACGCCCCAGACUGGUGGUCUGUGUCCCCCAGGGGAAGGCGCCACGCUGGAUCGUGCUAGCCCGUGUGGGCAGGGGAAGACGCAGAGCCCACCCUAGCUCUGGAGACGCCGCCGAGGGCUUGGGAGAAGGUCCCUGGCCAGCCCUGCGAAUCCAGGAGCCGCCACUAGGCAGGGAAUAGUCAUCCGAGGAAUGUGAUGGGCUCUGAGGUGGCCCCCUCUGAGGCUUUUCGGGAGGCGGCCCAAGUCAGAGCCCGCCACACCCCCGGGUCCCCGGGGUCCUCUGAGCACGUCUGGUGCCCAGAUGCACCGUGCAGAUGAAACCACGCUUGCCCCUUCACAGGGGCCUGGGCCUCCGGGAUUUUAGUCCCAAAGCCACACUUCAGGACAGGGCUGCGAACCUGCACGGGGCUUAGCGCCUUCCAAGUCGGCUCAGACUGGACAGCCCUCCCACGGCUUGGAGUUUUGUUCAGUUUUCCUCGUUCAAACUUUGCUCUUCUCAUCGCCACCAUGGAUGCCGAAACCCCUUCGGGCACAGUGUCUAUACCUCCGCCUUGAGACUCUCUCUACAAGCAUGCGUGUUCCUUAUGGUGGGACCCUUUGGAUCUGGGUCAUUACCCACUUUCUGGCCUUUGUCCCCCCCCCCGCCCCCACACACAGACACCCUCUCUCCUGGGUUUUCCAAGAAAUAUCUUCCUGAGCCCUUGCUGAGGAAUAGCUGAAUUUUCUUUCUUGUUUGUUGUUUUUCUUUUCCGUUCUUGUUUUUGUUUCUUCUAGCGAGGAUACAUCCUUAUUGGUUGGAGAGUUGAGUUGAGCAAGUUUUUGGUUUCUCCAGCUCCUAGGCCCGGGUCCCGUGGUGGACAAUGUCCCUGAAGGACCCCGCGAUCACCGCACAGCCAAGCUCACCACUCUAGUUGAAAUCCGAAGCUUCAGCAUUCCCACGGGCUCCCCAGGGCAUCGUGUGCCCAAGGUGCCUCAGCCCCCGCGCCUGAGGGGGAGAAGUGCCCCUGCCUCGUGGUCCUGGAGGAUGGCUCAUAAACCCACCGAAGGUUUGGGGACCAGUCCCUUUUCACAGAGGUGGUAAGGGAUGGAGACCGGACUGCCCCCUCCUGACUGGAACCAAAUGUCUCCUCCUGGGCUUUGGUCUUGUUGAGUGCUGCCAGCCCCCGCCCGGCACCCCGUGGCCAGGUACCCCGGGCACAAUUUUGACCUGAGGCUAUUUAUUGUGUGAGAGAGCUCAAGGGCUUCCGUCCUAUGCCUGUUGGCCUCCCUGUGGUCUCCGCGUGCCCUUUCCUGUCUCCGUCUCCACGGCGUGGUCCUGUCUGCUGCCCUUCAGUCUCUCGUGGGACCCUCGGCCUCUCUCGCCCUACGUGGGCAUCAGGUAUGCUAGCAUUUACUUACACCGUUUCCUUCAAUCACUUCACCCUUGGCACACCUUAGGAAGCAAAUGAAACCUCGCCCUUAGCAAAAAUAGCCCCGAGUCACGAUUCCUUGGGCCCCGCUCAUUGGAGGGGGGCUCUGGAGCCAUAGGGAUGCAGGCGGCCUCCUGCUCGCUCAUCCCUUGCGAGCUGGCGGAGCUGCCGAUCUGCUUGGUCUCACUCUGCCCUGGUUUCCUCGUCUGUAAGAGGAGAGCAACAAUCUCGGCAGCGUGCUGCCGGAGUGACUGAGAUGACACACGGGAACUAUGGCUGAUGGCCCUGCCCUGCCCUCCCCAAUCUGGACUGCAGCCCGUCUUCUGUUUCUUUACUCACAGGCGCCGUGAGAGCAGAGAGCCGCUGGUUCGUCACCAGAGGUCGGCAACGAGGACAGAUCGUGAUCUUGUGACCUAAGCACACCGUGGACUCUUCAGGUUGUUCCAGGAAGCUGUAUCAUUUUCCAUACUGACCCCCAGCCUGAAGCCUGGGACAGCAGGUUCCUCUCCUGUAAUCCGGUGUUAAGGCCCAGGAGGCCAGGGCUCUGCGCGGGGAACGGCCGCGACAGAAGGGAAGGGGGUGCCCCAUGGCACAGAAAGCAGAAGUUGGCUGCGGGAUCGGGAGCGGGAUCAGUAGGACUGGUUUGGGGAUCCUUGAUCAAGGCCACUCCGCUGAUGGCUCAGGCCGUUCCAGUUCCCAUUCCAGUUCCCAGACCGAAGGCAAGAAGGCAGAUUUGCUGUGCUCAGGACUCUUAGUGCCACGCUUCCCUGUUGCUGCCAGCCGUUCCUUGGCUUCCAGGAUGCAACGCCACGCAUCUGCCCAAAGCAGAGACUUGAAACUAGUGCCAGGGAAAUCAACAAAGCCCUUCCCGUGCCUAGAGUGGGCUCCUGCUCGAGACGGGACCAGCUGUGUGCAUCUAGGGAAAUGAGCCACGGAGGCAACACGUUCCCUGCACCCUUCCGUUACCUCAGGACCCUCUUGGAGUCUAAGUUGAACAGGAGACUGGGUCUUUUCUCAGCCAGGUGCCUGAAAUGACUGAAGACGGGAACUUGCAAGACGCAUGGGUGUGACUGAAACCCGAGUGCAGGUGUGGUUUAAGAACAGAAGAGCCAAGU